This 253-nucleotide ribosomal RNA is filed under the name uncultured bacterium. Its description in RNAcentral is "partial 16S ribosomal RNA". It matches the Rfam family "Bacterial small subunit ribosomal RNA", at positions 524 to 776 of the family's 1533-position model. The record is from RNAcentral.
UACGAAGGGGGCUAGCGUUGCUCGGAAUCACUGGGCGUAAAGCGCACGUAGGCGGACUGUUUAGUCGGGGGUGAAAUCCCGGGGCUCAACCCCGGAACGGCCUCCGAUACUGGCAGUCUGGAGUUCGGGAGAGGCGAGUGGAAUUCCGAGUGUAGAGGUGAAAUUCGUAGAUAUUCGGAGGAACACCAGUGGCGAAGGCGGCUCGCUGGCCCGAUACUGACGCUGAGGUGCGAAAGCGUGGGGAGCAAACAGG